This 504-nucleotide ribosomal RNA is filed under the name uncultured bacterium. RNAcentral's name for it is "partial 16S ribosomal RNA". It matches the Rfam family "Bacterial small subunit ribosomal RNA", at positions 30 to 523 of the family's 1533-position model. The record is from RNAcentral.
AUUGAACGCUGGCGGCAGGCUUAACACAUGCAAGUCGAGCGGUAACAGAGAGAAGCUUGCUUCUCUGCUGACGAGCGGCGGACGGGGGAGUAAUGCCUAGGAAUCUGCCUAGUAGUGGGGGAUAACUUGCCGAAAGGUAAGCUAAUACCGCAUACGUCCUACGGGAGAAAGGAGGGGACCUUCGGCCUUUCGCUAUUAGAUGAGCCUAGGUCGGAUUAGUUAGUUGGUGAGGUAAUGGCUCACCAAGACCGCGAUCCGUAACUGGUCUGAGAGGAUGAUCAGUCACACUGGAACUGAGACACGGUCCAGACUCCUACGGGAGGCAGCAGUGGGGAAUAUUGGACAAUGGGGGAAACCUGAUCCAGCCAUGCCGCGUGUGUGAAGAAGGUCUUAGGAUUGUAAAGCACUUUAAGUUGGGAGGAAGAGUAGUUAACUAAUAUUUGACUGUUUUGACGUUACCGACAGAAUAAGCACCGGCUAACUUCGUGCCAGCCGCCGCCGUAA